RNAcentral lists this ribosomal RNA (253 nucleotides) under uncultured bacterium. RNAcentral describes it as "partial 16S ribosomal RNA". It matches the Rfam family "Bacterial small subunit ribosomal RNA", at positions 524 to 776 of the family's 1533-position model. The record is from RNAcentral.
UACAGAGGGUGCGAGCGUUGUCCGGAAUCACUGGGCGUAAAGGGCGCGUAGGCGGUCUGCUAAGCGUGUGGUGAAAGCCCGGGGCUCAACCCCGGGUCGGCCGUGCGAACUGGCGGACUGGAGCUUGUCAGAGGCAGGCGGAAUUCCGGGUGUAGCGGUGAAAUGCGUAGAUAUCUGGAGGAACACCGGUGGCGAAGGCGGCAUCCUGGACCAUUACUGACGCUGAGGAGCGAAAGCCAGGGGAGCAAACGGG